AGCAGCCGCGGUAAUUCCAGCUCCAAUAGCGUAUAUUAAAGUUGUUGCAGUUAAAAAGCUCGUAGUUGAAUUUUAGGCCUGGCCAGGCGGUCCGUCUUUGGCGAGUACUGUCUUGUUGUCGGGUCUUCCUUCUGGUGAACCAGUAUGUCCUUUAUUGGGUGUGUUGGGGAGCCAGGACCAUUACCUUGAAAAAAUUAGAGUGUUUAAAGCGGGCUAUUGCUUGAAUAGAUUAGCAUGGAAUAAUAGAAUAGGACGUUGUGGUUCUAUUUUGUUGGUUUCUAGGACCACCGUAAUGAUUAAUAGGGAUAGUUGGGGGCAUUAGUAUUCAAUUGUCAGAGGUGAAAUUCUUGGAUUUAUUGAAGACUAACUAUUGCGAAAGCAUUUGCCAAGGAUGUUUUCAUUAAUCAAGAACGAAAGUUAGGGGAUCGAAGACGAUCAGAUACCGUCGUAGUCUUAACCAUAAACUAUGCCGACUAGGAAUCGGGCGACGUUAUUUAAUGACUCGCUCGGCGCCUUAUGG
Molecule: ribosomal RNA, 520 nt
Filed under: uncultured Archaeospora
Lineage: Eukaryota; Fungi; Glomeromycota; Glomeromycetes; Archaeosporales; Archaeosporaceae
Description: SSU rRNA
Rfam family: Eukaryotic small subunit ribosomal RNA
Source: RNAcentral